GAGCACAUAUAUUUGUGAGAAGACCUUCUCCACCAUGGCCAUCAACAAAUCCAAGCUGAGAUCCAGGCUUACAGAUGGCCAUCUACACGAUGUCCUUCGUAUUGCAACAACGGAGAUGGAGCCGGACAUCAGAGGAAUCGUGGCCAACCGAAAACAGCACCACAAAUCCCACGCCAAUAAAAAAAGGUUUUCCGGUGGUGAAUUGGUAGCUGGAAUUGCUCCUGAAUAAGGAGCUCCAUUCUGACAAGAAAGGAAGGCACAAUGAGACUGACAGUUCUAAAUAAGUUUCUGAAAUGCACACAGGACUGUUAUAUCCCAAAUUCGAAGAGAACCCCAGGGAUUGUGUGUUAGUUACAAUGUUUCUUAAGGUUUUCUGAAGUUGUGCCAUGUUUUGCCUAAUUUGUCAUUUAAAAUGUGUUUAGACUGGAUGCAGACCAAUACAUAAUUGUAUAAUUAUUUGUAAUUGUAGAUUUGUAGAGAGAGCAACCUGGUCAUUAAAAUUAUAACAAAUUGAA
Long non-coding RNA from Gadus morhua (Atlantic cod), 515 nucleotides. RefSeq lists it as uncharacterized. The record is from RefSeq and is a predicted model, not a curated record. The transcript has 2 exons. Lineage: Eukaryota; Metazoa; Chordata; Actinopteri; Gadiformes; Gadidae.